AGCGAACGCUGGCGGCAGGCCUAAUACAUGCAAGUCGAACGGCUCUUCGGAGCAGUGGCGGACGGGUGAGUAACGCGUGGGAAUGUGCCCUUUGGUACGGAACAACACAGGGAAACUUGUGCUAAUACCGUAUGUGCCCUUCGGGGGAAAGAUUUAUCGCCAUUGGAGCAGCCCGCGUUGGAUUAGGUAGUUGGUGAGGUAAAGGCUCACCAAGCCUACGAUCCAUAGCUGGUCUGAGAGGAUGACCAGCCACACUGGGACUGAGACACGGCCCAGACUCCUACGGGAGGCAGCAGUAGGGAAUCUUGCGCAAUGGGCGAAAGCCUAGACGCAGCCAUGCCGCGUGUAUGAUG
Molecule: ribosomal RNA, 353 nt
Filed under: uncultured bacterium
Lineage: Bacteria
Description: bacterial SSU rRNA
Rfam family: Bacterial small subunit ribosomal RNA
Source: RNAcentral